AGUGAACGCUGGCGGUAGGCCUAACACAUGCACGUCGAACGGCAGCACAGUAAGAGCUUGCUCUUACAGGUGGCGACCGGCGGACGGGCGCGGAAUACAUCGGAAUCUACUUUUAAUACGGCGACUCCGACCGGCGACCUACGCUAAUACCUCAUACUACCUACGGCUGAAAGCAGGGGACCUUCGGACCUUCCGCGAUCCAUUGAGCCGACGUCGGAUUGGCUAGUUGGCGGGGUAAAGGCCCACCAAGGCGACGAUCCGUAACUGGUCUGUGAGGAUGCUCAGCCACACUGGAACUGACACUCGGUCCAGACUACUACGGGACUGAGCAGUGAGGAAUAGUGGACCAUGCGCGCAGGCCUGAUCCAGCCAUACCGCGUGGGUGAAGAAGGCCUCCGGCUUGCAAAGCCCUCUUAUUGGGAAAGAACAGCAGUCGCCUAACAUCCCGCCGUGCUGACGGUACCCAAACAAUAAGCUCCGGCUAAUCUCUUG
This 492-nucleotide ribosomal RNA is filed under the name uncultured bacterium. RNAcentral's name for it is "partial 16S ribosomal RNA". It matches the Rfam family "Bacterial small subunit ribosomal RNA", at positions 29 to 507 of the family's 1533-position model. The record is from RNAcentral.